AGAUUGAACGCUGGCGGCAUGCUUUACACAUGCAAGUCGAACGGUGACAGGCCGCAAGGUGCUGACGAGUGGCGAACGGGUGAGUAAUGCAUCGGAACGUGCCCAGUCGUGGGGGAUAACGCAGCGAAAGCUAGUGCUAAUACCGCAUACGAUCUAUGGAUGAAAGCGGGGACCGAAAGGCCUCGCGCAUUGGAGCGGCGAGUGUCAGAUUAGCUAGUUGGUGGGUAAAGGCCCACGAAGGCGACGAUCUGUAGCUGGUCUGAGAGGACGACCAGCCACACGUGGAACUGAGACACGGUCCAGACGUCCGUAACGGGAGG
This 320-nucleotide ribosomal RNA is filed under the name uncultured soil bacterium. Its description in RNAcentral is "bacterial SSU rRNA". It matches the Rfam family "Bacterial small subunit ribosomal RNA", at positions 26 to 348 of the family's 1533-position model. The record is from RNAcentral.